CAAUUGGUACUGUCCUUUUAAGACCACCUGCCAAUCAAAUUAAUCAAGUGGGAGGCGGUCAGUGUUAGCAAACAGAGAGUUUAGUACACCAAACAAGCUAGCACAAUUCCAGUGUGAUUAUACAUUACAAGGCCUAAGCGAGCACAACAUCUUUCCCUGAAUAUACUUGCUUUAAAAAGCCUGGUAUCUCGUUCUGAGGCUGGAUGCAUUGAAAGCACCUUAGCAAUGCCACAGUUCACAUGGACAAGCUGUGUGGUGCUGCAACUCUUGGGAAUCAAUAGCCAUCGUGCCAUGAACCCCAGCAGCUUCCUACAAAAAAAUCAAUAGGUAAAUAAAUACAAUCUCAAUUAAUACACAAGCUCUCGCAGCAGGUGUCUCACUGAAAGAAUUUUCUCCUUUUUUCUGAGGGGCCGUUUGUGGCUUAGCAGCCAUCAGUUGAUGUUGAUAAUGGAAGGGGCAGAGAGAGGCAGAGUAGAGGGCUCACUCUGAGAGCCCGCUGAGGGUUCAUCUCCAUGGAACCGCCCUCCUCUCAACGGCAGAGACACGCACUGACUUCUAACCAGACCUUUCUAUGAGAGUGCAAGAAAACCAUCGGCUCACUGUGUUCCUGUUUACAACCAGCUAAUGUUGAACUUUUAAAGUAUUUUUUUGCAAAAAAAAGCAUACCUUAAAAAUCUGCACAUCCUAAGGACAUUUGUGCUGGGUUUAGGUGAGUCUUUCAUGUGACUUUGUGAUGUGUUUAGUUUUUCCAUUAACAGAAAAAAAGUUAAUAAAAAAAAUGUACAAAUUAAAUAUGAAAUAAAAUGAGUUUUAUGUUCAUAAUAUUU
RNAcentral lists this long non-coding RNA (827 nucleotides) under Sinocyclocheilus anshuiensis. RNAcentral describes it as "lncRNA (ENSSANG00000048432.1)". The record is from RNAcentral. Lineage: Eukaryota; Metazoa; Chordata; Actinopteri; Cypriniformes; Cyprinidae.